GUUGAGUUAGCUUAUUAGUCUAAGUUUAUAAGUUUAUAAGUUUAGUUAGUUUAUUAGUCUGUUGGGACUUUAAAUUCUGUUUCAUACUUCUUAGUUUUCUAGGAAGUUGAGUUUUUGUUUAUUGGGCUGAUUUGUGUCCUGUUUUCUUGUAAAAUUCAAGAAGAUUUGUAUUGAAUAGAUAGUAGGAAUAUUCACGCACUCAGCUUCAUUGACUUUAUUAUAAAGUCAAAAUGCUUCACACUAGUUAUUACAACCUGAAACUAGACAUGUUUGGGAAGUCACAUGCAUGAUCAUGGAAAGGAGGAGCUAUAGAGUCAAGAAGAACUGUGUUUUUGUACCUAUGUGGUCUUAUUUUAUGUUGCUAAGCCUCAGUUUUCUCCUAGGUGAAAUGAGAUAUUAAUAUAUCUAAGGAUUAGUGAAGUUACAUAUGUCAAGUCUUCAAUGAUGCAUUUAUUGAAACCCAUUAUGGUUGAAAAAUGACAGAUGAACAGGACUGGUAGCAAGUGGAAACAAAACUCCUUUUUAAUUCAAAUACCUUUCCCCAUAACAGGGAAAUGAAAACUAUAUUAGCAAGCAGGCAUAUUCAUAAAAUACUUUAUGUCAAUAAAAAUGAUCACAGAAUCCCUUACAAUAAAAUUAUAUAAAGCAGAAUUGUUUCUUAGAAUAUUGAAUAUAUCUUCAACCUUUGCAAGCCUUUUAUGUACUAGCUAUUAAACAUUAAGUAUUCAAAAGCAUAGGAAUUAUGAGAACACCCAGGAAAAUAUUAAGUGUUAAGUGUGGUAUAUUUUGGAUGAAGUAGAACACAAUUUCACACUGACUCAGACACUUCUUUCUCUGAAUUAAAAAAAAAUAUACAGAUAUGAUCUUAAAAAAUUAGAGAAUGAGUUUUUAGGACAAUUAGAUAAUUUUUUUAUUUCCAACAUCUUUAAUACAUUUAUAAAACACUGCUUAACAGAUAACAAUGGGUUGUUAAUUUCAAAAUGUUUAGACUUUUAAAUAGUUGCCUAAGAAUAGAUUCCAAUAUACACUUUCUUUGAUCAUAUCAUACACCUGAAUAUAAUAAUGAAACAUUGUUUUAUUAAGGAUGGUUAUAUAAUAAAGCCUUUCCAAUAAUUUAUAAUAGCCUAAUUAUUGAUAUUUUCAACUGAUGGCUUUUAAUUAUAUAAUUGGAAAGUAAUCCUUGGGACUCAAAUUGAAGUAUUAUUAUCUAUUCUUUUACAAGCUAUUAUUUUUCUUAUUAGCUCCUUGUUAUAAAAAUUUUAAAAUUUCAUUAAUUCGGUAAAAGAAAUUUAAUAAAGUAUAACAAAAU
RNAcentral lists this long non-coding RNA (1309 nucleotides) under Marmota monax (woodchuck). The record is from RNAcentral. Lineage: Eukaryota; Metazoa; Chordata; Mammalia; Rodentia; Sciuridae.